AACGAACGCUGGCGGCAGGCCUAACACAUGCAAGUCGAACGCCCCGCAAGGGGAGUGGCAGACGGGUGAGUAACACGUGGGAACGUACCCCAAGGUUCGGAACAACAGCGGGAAACUGCUGCUAAUACCGGAUGUGACCGAGAGGUGAAAGAUUUAUCGCCUUGGGAUCGGCCCGCGUUAGAUUAGCUAGUUGGUGGGGUAAUGGCCUACCAAGGCUACGAUCUAUAGCUGGUCUGAGAGGAUGAUCAGCCACACUGGGACUGAGACACGGCCCAGACUCCUACGGGAGGCAGCAGUGGGGAAUCUUGGACAAUGGGCGCAAGCCUGAUCCAGCCAUGCCGCGUGAAUGAUGAAGGCCUUAGGGUUGUAAAAUUCUUUCGUCGGGGACGAUAAUGACGGUGCCCGAAGAAGAAGCCCCGGCUAACUUCGUGCCAGCAGCCGCGGUAA
This 447-nucleotide ribosomal RNA is filed under the name uncultured bacterium. Its description in RNAcentral is "partial 16S ribosomal RNA". It matches the Rfam family "Bacterial small subunit ribosomal RNA", at positions 29 to 523 of the family's 1533-position model. The record is from RNAcentral.